RNAcentral lists this unclassified non-coding RNA (323 nucleotides) under soil metagenome. Its description in RNAcentral is "partial contains 5.8S ribosomal RNA, internal transcribed spacer 2, and large subunit ribosomal RNA". The stretch from base 1 to 120 matches the Rfam family "5.8S ribosomal RNA", at positions 35 to 154 of the family's 154-position model. The record is from RNAcentral.
GAUGAAGAACGUAGCGAAAUGCGAUAAGUAAUGUGAAUUGCAGAAUUCAGUGAAUCAUCGAAUCUUUGAACGCACAUUGCGCCCUGUGGUAUUCCGCAGGGCAUGCCUGUUCGAGCGUCAUUUCAACCCUCAAGCUCUGCUUGGUGUUGGGUCCUGCCCGCUGCGGCCGGCCCUAAAGACAGUGGCGGUGCCGCCUGGCCCUGAGCGUAGUACAUCUCUCGCUCCAGAGCCCGGUGGUAGCCUGCCAGAACCCCAACUCUCGUGGUUGACCUCGGAUCAGGUAGGGAUACCCGCUGAACUUAAGCAUAUCAAUAAGCGGAGGA